Long non-coding RNA from Drosophila obscura, 1312 nucleotides. RefSeq lists it as uncharacterized. NCBI's taxonomy places the organism in Eukaryota, Metazoa, Arthropoda, Insecta, Diptera, Drosophilidae. The transcript has 7 exons. The record is from RefSeq and is a predicted model, not a curated record.
CCAUUUUAUUCACAGAAUCAUGUUCAUGUAAAUUAAUAUUUUAUUCAAAUUCAAAGUCAUCCACAAUGUCUGAAAUUCUGCAAAUACUAAGCUUCCAAUUCGCCAAAAAUUGUUGGCAGCCACUGAGAAUCUUCAACCAAUAUCCAGAAGUCAAGUAGUCGACUGUCCAUCAAAUUCUCUUACCUAGGCAGUGUUCGCUCUAAUAUCCCCUAUAUGCAUGUGAAGCAACGCGAUCAGUUGGAGAAUAUACGCAAGAAAAUUAUAGAAGAACGGAAAUUAAUUAAAAAUAAAAUUGAACAAAUUGAAAAGCAUAUUAAGAACUUGGAGAACUCCAGCGCCAAACCUGAAAAGAAGCCAUAGAGAGAGAGACAGAUAGUAAAAAUCAAUCCAGUCAUCCUUGAAAAACGGCUCUGCUGUUCAAAUACUUUCGUUUCAAAUUCUAAAUUUUAAAGAUUUUGUUUCAAUUAUGUUUGGAACAGUCUUCAGAGCCAUAAGUCUGCUGAAAGCCAGAGAUGUACUGGCCACAAGCACACUCAGACGAUCCCUCCGGGACAAAGGCAUGGGAGAGGAGAAAAAUCAUUUUAAGAAAAUUGAAAUGGAACAACUAAAGAAAAUUAGGCAGAAUAAGAUUAAGCAAAUGAUGGAAGAGAUCGAGGCCCUGAAGAACGAGAUCAAAGCCGUUGAGCGGGGAUUCUCCGAAAAUGCAAAGUCCUUGAAAGAAUCGCUGUUGAAACAAAUCGAGCAGCUGGAAAAUUCCAUCGAGAGAGUUAAAAAGUCGAUGGGCGGAGACAAUUGAAUCAGCAGCUCACGUAGAGUAGGCGAGAAUCUUUUCAAAAAACAUUCCAGUUUCAGUCAGCCCUUAGAAUGCCUUCACUUAAUACUACAUUUCCAUUCAAUUCCAAAUUUUAAUAAAUAAAUUUUAGUUUCGCAUAUUUUUUCUUACAUUUUACCGAAAAUUAUCAGCCAUGCUAAAAAUUCUUUGCAACACGCUUCGACUUGUAGCUGCCCCCAAAUGCUGCUUCACGCAGAGCUUCAAGAAUGCCAGCAAUUUCUUGUACGAAAGAGCCAGAGCCGGAGAGAAUAUCCACUUCCUAAAAAUACAAAGAGAACAACUGAUGCAACUGCGUUCCAAACUUAAAAAGCAACAGAAGGAGGUCAUGUCAGAGAUUGGCAAAGUGGAUGAGCAGAUGGUAACAAUCGCUGAAAGAUCUAGUCAAACCCGAAAACAAUAACAGGGGCAAAGCAGGAAAGCAGGGAAAUAGUAUGACGCAAUUAAUUAUAUUAACAUUUAAUCUAAAAUAAAUUAAAAUCG